Molecule: non-coding RNA, 169 nt
Organism: Vicia faba (fava bean)
Lineage: Eukaryota; Viridiplantae; Streptophyta; Magnoliopsida; Fabales; Fabaceae
Source: the annotation of a GenBank genome assembly
GUGGGACAGCACAAAACCGGCCUCUAUUUCAAAUUUGAUUCUUUUGAAAUUCAAAGAGGUGGAUGAGCAUGAGUCACAGACAUUGGAUGAUAUAAAGGAAAAGGAACCAGAGUUUUACAGUAGAGUGAUAGCUGUGUUAAAACGAGCUGAAAAUGACUUUGGAUUAUGA